Molecule: long non-coding RNA, 124 nt
Organism: Carassius auratus (goldfish)
Lineage: Eukaryota; Metazoa; Chordata; Actinopteri; Cypriniformes; Cyprinidae
Exons: 3
Source: RefSeq, a predicted model, not a curated record
AAGAAGGACAAAGAGAAGGAGGAUGAGAACACGACCACAGAGGUGGGUGAUGGAGCUGAGCUCGACUCGGAGGCUGCAGAUAUCCUCAAUGACCUGCAAGGGAAGCUUAAUUCUGUUCUGGAAA